GUGUCAGCAGCCGCGGUAAUACAGAGGUCCCGAGCGUUGUUCGGAUUUAUUGGGCGUAAAGGGUGCGUAGGUGGCAAAGUAAGUUGGAUGUGAAAUCCUGGGGCUCAACCUCAGAAUUGCAUUCAAUACUGCUUAGCUAGAGAGCUGUAGAGGAGACUGGAAUUUACGGUGUAGCAGUGAAAUGCGUAGAUAUCGUAAGGAACGCCAGUGGCGAAAGCGAGUCUCUGGGCAGCAUCUGACACUGAGGCACGAAGGCCAGGGGAGCAAACGGGAUUAGAUACCCCGGUAGUCC
Molecule: ribosomal RNA, 292 nt
Filed under: uncultured bacterium
Lineage: Bacteria
Description: partial 16S ribosomal RNA
Rfam family: Bacterial small subunit ribosomal RNA
Source: RNAcentral